UGGUGCUGCCCGACUGCAUACAAGAAAUGUAAAACAUUCCGAGUAGAUCGUCGUCAGUUGGGCUUAACUGCAGUGGCUGCUUGACAUUUGGAUUGGACCUGACCGCAAACGCACAGAAAUCGGAGCUCCUAACACUUUGAAUAGAAUACUGAGAACCUGCAGGGAGCAAUCAUUCAGAUUUUUUCUUUUCUUUUUUUAAUACAGGCAAUGAAAACUAUUGGUGCUAAUUUGAACAAAAUGGAUUCCUUAUGUUUUGAAAGCACAACAUCCAGAGUGGAGUCUCCUUGCUUGUCAUCCCAGAACACAGACAGGCUGCUAAUCACCCCCCGAAGGUGCAGACAGUUGCUCCAGGUUGAAAGCAGAGUGGAUGUGAUGAAUUUUUUGAGGCUUUCCAGGCGUGCUGAUGCCUUUAGUGCAGCGACAUCUAAAGGCGCAGCAACACAUGUGCACAAAAAGGUUUCCGUGUGCCCCGGCUUAGCAGGACGUGCGGAGGGAGGGAGGGCUGGAGCACAGAUUGGACCCCCCAAACCUGAUACAGAUGGAAUCGCAACGGUUAUCAUAACAUCCAUG
This is a long non-coding RNA of Syngnathus acus (greater pipefish), 570 nucleotides long. RefSeq lists it as uncharacterized. NCBI's taxonomy places the organism in Eukaryota, Metazoa, Chordata, Actinopteri, Syngnathiformes, Syngnathidae. The record is from RefSeq and is a predicted model, not a curated record. The transcript is spliced from 3 exons.